RNAcentral lists this ribosomal RNA (443 nucleotides) under uncultured bacterium. Its description in RNAcentral is "partial 16S ribosomal RNA". It matches the Rfam family "Bacterial small subunit ribosomal RNA", at positions 338 to 795 of the family's 1533-position model. The record is from RNAcentral.
CCUACGGGUGGCAGCAGUGGGGAAUAUUGCACAAUGGGGGAAACCCUGAUGCAGCGACGCCGCGUGAGUGAUGAAGGUCUUCGGAUUGUAAAGUUCUUUUCUAAGGGAAGAAGAAAGUGACGGUACCUUAGGAAUAAGCCUCGGCUAACUACGUGCCAGCAGCCGCGGUAAUACGUAGGAGGCAAGCGUUAUCCGGAAUGACUGGGCGUAAAGGGUGCGUAGGUGGUUUGAUAAGUUGGUAGCGUAACUCCGGGGCUCAACCUCGGCACUACUACCAAAACUGUCGGACUUGAGUGCAGGAGGGGCAACUGGAAUUCCUAGUGUAGCGGUGGAAUGCGUAGAUAUUAGGAGGAACACCAGUGGCGAAGGCGAGUUGCUGGACUGUAACUGACACUGAGGCACGAAAGCGUGGGGAGCAAACAGGAUUAGAUACCCUUGUAGUC